Molecule: long non-coding RNA, 141 nt
Organism: Rhodamnia argentea
Lineage: Eukaryota; Viridiplantae; Streptophyta; Magnoliopsida; Myrtales; Myrtaceae
Exons: 2
Source: RefSeq, a predicted model, not a curated record
GAUCUCUCUCCUACUUUCCUGUUUUCCCCAAAUAGUGCUCAUGGACCACAAGCUGAGUGAAAUAUCAACAAGAAGUCAGUAACAGCAAAUCCACAUUCAUCAGUCAUUGCUUACACGGGCAUCCCAAAAGAAAAUCACUAA